CACCGGCUGGCGGGUGCCGGACACGCCCUUCGAAGGCGUACGGCUCUCCCAGCUGCUGGACGCCGCCGGGGUACGGUCCUCGGCCGGGGCC
RNAcentral lists this transfer RNA (91 nucleotides) under Streptomyces flaveus. RNAcentral's name for it is "tRNA-Arg". Lineage: Bacteria; Bacillati; Actinomycetota; Actinomycetes; Kitasatosporales; Streptomycetaceae. The record is from RNAcentral.